This 90-nucleotide microRNA precursor is filed under the name Canis lupus familiaris (dog). Its description in RNAcentral is "mir-8799 microRNA precursor family". It matches the Rfam family "mir-8799 microRNA precursor family". The record is from Rfam by way of RNAcentral. RNAcentral also lists the same sequence under 1 other name. Lineage: Eukaryota; Metazoa; Chordata; Mammalia; Carnivora; Canidae.
GGGGGGAGGCUGGAUCCUGGGCUGUGUCCCAGUGCUCUGUGCUCCGGGGCCUGCGCUGUUGGACUUGCACUCCCGGCUGCACAGCCCCCU